This 967-nucleotide ribosomal RNA is filed under the name Salmonella enterica subsp. enterica serovar Kingabwa. RNAcentral describes it as "partial 23S ribosomal RNA". It matches the Rfam family "Bacterial large subunit ribosomal RNA", at positions 1192 to 2141 of the family's 2925-position model. The record is from RNAcentral. Lineage: Bacteria; Pseudomonadati; Pseudomonadota; Gammaproteobacteria; Enterobacterales; Enterobacteriaceae.
CACCGAAGCUGCGGCAGCGACACUGUGUGUUGUUGGGUAGGGGAGCGUUCUGUAAGCCUGUGAAGGUGUGUCGUGAGGCAUGCUGGAGGUAUCAGAAGUGCGAAUGCUGACAUAAGUAACGAUAAAGCGGGUGAAAAGCCCGCUCGCCGGAAGACCAAGGGUUCCUGUCCAACGUUAAUCGGGGCAGGGUGAGUCGACCCCUAAGGCGAGGCCGAAAGGCGUAGUCGAUGGGAAACGGGUUAAUAUUCCCGUACUUGGUGUUACUGCGAAGGGGGGACGGAGAAGGCUAUGUUGGCCGGGCGACGGUUGUCCCGGUUUAAGCGUGUAGGUGUGUGUUCCAGGUAAAUCCGGUUCACUUUAACACUGAGGCGUGAUGACGAGGCACUACGGUGCUGAAGCAACAAAUGCCCUGCUUCCAGGAAAAGCCUCUAAGCAUCAGGUAACAUCAAAUCGUACCCCAAACCGACACAGGUGGUCAGGUAGAGAAUACCAAGGCGCUUGAGAGAACUCGGGUGAAGGAACUAGGCAAAAUGGUGCCGUAACUUCGGGAGAAGGCACGCUGACAUGUAGGUGAAGUGAUUUACUCAUGGAGCUGAAGUCAGUCGAAGAUACCAGCUGGCUGCAACUGUUUAUUAAAAACACAGCACUGUGCAAACACGAAAGUGGACGUAUACGGUGUGACGCCUGCCCGGUGCCGGAAGGUUAAUUGAUGGGGUCAGCGCAAGCGAAGCUCCUGAUCGAAGCCCCGGUAAACGGCGGCCGUAACUAUAACGGUCCUAAGGUAGCGAAAUUCCUUGUCGGGUAAGUUCCGACCUGCACGAAUGGCGUAAUGAUGGCCAGGCUGUCUCCACCCGAGACUCAGUGAAAUUGAACUCGCUGUGAAGAUGCAGUGUACCCGCGGCAAGACGGAAAGACCCCGUGAACCUUUACUAUAGCUUGACACUGAACAUUGAGCCUUGAUGUGUAG